UGGUUUGAUUUAUUUGUAUUUUUAUCCACCCAGCCAAGAACAUUGAUCUGAAGCUGUAUCCUGCAAGUGCUGAGCCCAUCGUUGAGCUGUAGGAGGCCCUCAGCAACCACCAACCUCACAUGAGAAGGAAAGGGUAGCAUUUCCUGGAUGAUGAAAGCUGGGAAAAGUAGGGGAAAGGAGAAGGCAUGAGAAAUCCCUCGAAUCAUUUGAAGGAAGGAUUGCUCCUGCUCCGUUGAUACCCUUGGUCUACAAGUGUCUCCUAUGAGACCUUCACUGAACACCAGGCAAAGAACUGCAGUGGAAGUUUCAGCGUGCUCUGUCAGGGAUCACUUUACUGCUGUGUUUGGCGUUUGUGCAACUGCUUCGGGAACACUCCAUCCAGCUGUUGUACCCACAAUUGAAGAAGGAUGUUGAAAAACUGGAGAUUUUUCAGAGAAGAGCCACAAGAAUGACUGAAGGAUUGAAAACAUGCCUUACAGUGGAGCCCAUCUCCUUAGCUUACCAAACAGCAAGUCAAGAAAAGCUCAAGUCUGGUUUUCAAGUAUGCUAUAUAAGGAAGAGAAAUUCAGAAACAGAAGCUCCUUCGGGCAAUAGCCUAAUAAGAAUUGGUAGUCAGAAGUUGGAUGAGUUCAUACCGUAUAUGAGUCUUCAAAUUUUAACUACGGAAACCAUUCUUGGACCGAAAGUCAGGGCUGUGAUUUAUUCUGUCAUUGGCAGUAGAGAUUGGAUACUUUUUCCAUCAGUUACACUCUGGUUCAUGCAGGGUAUUCAUUCAGAGCAGCCUUGUUGCUGGCAUCCUUUCAGAAGUCAAACCUAGCUGACCAUGGCUGUCCUCUCUGGCUUUGUUAAUUUAUAAAUCAGAGUUCUCACUCCAAAUGUUCAUAACAGAUACACAAAAUCCUUCGGAUAC
This is a long non-coding RNA of Aquila chrysaetos chrysaetos, 910 nucleotides long. RefSeq lists it as uncharacterized. The transcript is spliced from 3 exons. Lineage: Eukaryota; Metazoa; Chordata; Aves; Accipitriformes; Accipitridae. The record is from RefSeq and is a predicted model, not a curated record.